AAGGUCGAAAGGGGAAAUUCAUUCGCGUUUCGGCCGUCGGCGAUGAACGGUCGUGUGACGAACGGCGUUCGCGCGUCGUUUGCGCCUUCUGUUCGUUUCGAACCGACGUCGAACGCGUGCACUUUUCCCCUAGUAGGACGUCGCGAUUCGUUGGGUGUCGGUCUACGGCUCGCGGUGGAGCCCGCGCGCGGUGUCGUUUUACGACGGCUCGUGCGCGGACCCGCGAUGUUCUGGCCGACUCGCUCGACGGUAUACAGACGGCACGAGGCCGCUAUCUAUCGCAGUUAGCGUCUGACCCGUGGCAAGCGCGUCCGGUGUCUAAGACGGCGAUCGGACCUAGUGCCGGUUCCGUCCCCGGACGACUGUUGGUCACGGUGUAUUUUUCUCGGACAGACCUCGUUGAAAUGCCGAUCUGCGACGCUAUAGCUUUGGGUACUUUCAGGACCCGUCUUGAA
RNAcentral lists this ribosomal RNA (455 nucleotides) under Caryobruchus gleditsiae. RNAcentral's name for it is "partial 28S ribosomal RNA". Lineage: Eukaryota; Metazoa; Arthropoda; Insecta; Coleoptera; Chrysomelidae. The record is from RNAcentral.